RNAcentral lists this ribosomal RNA (32 nucleotides) under Mystus tengara. RNAcentral describes it as "partial 5.8S ribosomal RNA". Lineage: Eukaryota; Metazoa; Chordata; Actinopteri; Siluriformes; Bagridae. The record is from RNAcentral.
AUCAUCACGGGGAUACGCGUGUCUGAGGGUCG